UUUCGCCUACGGGACGCAGCAGUAGGGAAUCUUCGACAAUGGGGGCAACCCUGACCGAGCAACGCCGCGUGAGUGAAGAAGGUUUUCGGAUCGUAAAACUCUGUUGUUAGAGAAGAACGUUAAGUAGAGUGGAAAGUUACUUAAGUGACGGUAUCUAACCAGAAAGGGACGGCUAACUACGUGCCAGCAGCCGCGGUAAUACGUAGGUCCCGAGCGUUGUCCGGAUUUAUUGGGCGUAAAGCGAGCGCAGGUGGUUCCUUAAGUCUGAUGUAAAAGGCAGUGGCUCAACCAUUGUGUGCAUUGGA
Molecule: ribosomal RNA, 305 nt
Filed under: uncultured bacterium
Lineage: Bacteria
Description: bacterial SSU rRNA
Rfam family: Bacterial small subunit ribosomal RNA
Source: RNAcentral